UACGGAGGAGGCAAGCGUUAUCCGGAAUUAUUGGGCGUAAAGCGUCCGCAGGUGGCGAUUCAAGUCUGCGGUCAAAGACUGGGGCUUAACCCUGGAAAGGCCGUGGAAACUGAAUAGCUAGAGUGCAGUAGGGGUAGAGGGAAUUCCCGGUGUAGCGGUGAAAUGCGUAGAGCUCGGGAAGAACACCGGUGGCGAAAGCGCUCUGCUGGACUGAAACUGACACUCAGGGACGAAAGCUAGGGGAGCGAAUGGG
Molecule: ribosomal RNA, 253 nt
Filed under: uncultured bacterium
Lineage: Bacteria
Description: partial 16S ribosomal RNA
Rfam family: Bacterial small subunit ribosomal RNA
Source: RNAcentral